CAGUUAAAUUUAAUAGUUAAUAUUUUCAUUUACAUUGAGAUAAAAGUUGUGCAAUUCAACAUUAACUGA
Molecule: transfer RNA, 69 nt
Filed under: Systropus sp. 2 YXA-2022a
Lineage: Eukaryota; Metazoa; Arthropoda; Insecta; Diptera; Bombyliidae
Description: tRNA-Val
Source: RNAcentral